AGGAAAAUAAUUUGGAGCGAGAUAAUGAUCCAUGUCCGUUAAUCAAUAGAGUGGAUCCGCACUGAGUGACAGUCAGUCAGUCAACUACAGUCAGUCUGUCAGUCAGUCGCAGGCAGCCGGCAUGUGAAAGAAUGCAGAGCGGGGGUGGGGCUGUUUCUCAGAGCAUCUACAUUCCAAACGCUCCAUUGCCAGUAGAGAUCAUUCUUAGCCUGAAGACAAAGAGAGAAGCCCACGCUGGUGACUUGGUUGGGACUCCGGAUCCACAGCCCUAAAUCAAUUACAAUUUCAUUUGGUUAGGCUGCUCCAUGUUUCCACUAUACUCAAACUGGACAGUGUUCCUUCUCUACCCAAUGGAGAGCACUUACCGGAUUUGACUUCACUCUUCAUCUAUCUUCCUCUACUCAUCCACUGACGGUUGAUCUGUUCUCAGUGGAACGCUCGCUGUGCACCUGCGCUUGGGAGAAGGGCGUGGAGAUACACACGAAAGGUACUCGUACGCGGCCAGGCUGAGUGAACAGGGGAGUUGGCUCGGUUCUUCCGCGCGCAUGGAGGGAGACGUUAUGGACAAGCUAAAUAGCAUGGCUGCGGUGUGUGACUUCGAUCCCAUUGCGGGAAGCGUCCCGGCCACCAAAGUGGAGAUCACAGUGUCAUGCAGGAAUCUAUUAGACAGAGACACAUUCUCCAAAUCUGAUCCAUUGGUGGUGUUGUACACUCAGGGCGUGGAGACCAAACAGUGGAGAGAGGUAAGAAGC
Molecule: long non-coding RNA, 752 nt
Organism: Oncorhynchus kisutch (coho salmon)
Lineage: Eukaryota; Metazoa; Chordata; Actinopteri; Salmoniformes; Salmonidae
Exons: 3
Source: RefSeq, a predicted model, not a curated record